RNAcentral lists this ribosomal RNA (460 nucleotides) under uncultured bacterium. RNAcentral describes it as "partial 16S ribosomal RNA". It matches the Rfam family "Bacterial small subunit ribosomal RNA", at positions 338 to 795 of the family's 1533-position model. The record is from RNAcentral.
CCUACGGGCGGCAGCAGUGAGGAAUAUUGGUCAAUGGUCGGGAGACUGAACCAGCCAAGCCGCGUGAGGGAUGAAGGUACAGAGUAUCGUAAACCUCUUUUGUCAGGGAACAAAGGCGGGGACGCGUCCCCGGAUGAGUGUACCUGAAGAAAAAGCAUCGGCUAACUCCGUGCCAGCAGCCGCGGUAAUACGGAGGAUGCGAGCGUUAUCCGGAUUUAUUGGGUUUAAAGGGUGCGUUGGCGGUCUGUUAAGUCCGCGGGUAAAGGCCGGGGCUCAAACCCGGCCCCGCCGUUGAAACUGGCAGUCUCGAGUUGGAGAGAGGUAUGCGGAAUGCGCGGUGUAGCGGUGAAAUGCAUAGAUAUCGCGAAGAACUCCGAUUGCGAAGGCAGCAUGCCGGCUCCACACUGACGCUGAGGCACGAAAGCGUGGGUAUCGAACAGGAUUAGAUACCCCAGUAGUC